GAUGAAGAACGUAGCGAAAUGCGAUACUUGGUGUGAAUUGCAGAAUCCCGUGAACCAUCGAGUCUUUGAACGCAAGUUGCGCCCGAAGCCAUUAGGCCGAGGGCACGCCUGCCUGGGCGUCACACGUCGUUGCCCCCCCACCUACUCCUUCGGGAUUGCGGGGGGCGGAUGAUGGCCUCCCGUGCGCCUCGUCGCGCGGUUGGCCUAAAUGCCAAGUCCUCGGCGACGCACGCCACGACAAUCGGUGGUUGCGAAACCUCGGUUGCCCGUCGUGUGCGGUCGUCGCGCAUCGAGGGCUCGAAAAAAUUGCCGGGCUUCGGCUCGACUUUCAACGCGACCCCAGGUCAGGCGGGGUUACCCGCUGAAUUUAAGCAUAUCAAUAAGCGGAGGA
Molecule: unclassified non-coding RNA, 391 nt
Filed under: soil metagenome
Description: partial contains 5.8S ribosomal RNA, internal transcribed spacer 2, and large subunit ribosomal RNA
Rfam family: 5.8S ribosomal RNA (bases 1-122)
Source: RNAcentral